AUGAUUCAGAAGAAGAUAUCCAUUAAAAAUAAUAAUAAGUUCAUACAACCCCAAGAAUAUAAAAUAAAAUAUAAAACCCGUGUUCCUUUGUUAGGGCUGCAUCCAACCCUAGAGAGGAGAUCAGCCUUCCAAUGAAGUCGUGGGCGACAGCAGCAGUGGCACAGCAGCGGGCUCUCAUUUCUUCCUUCCGGCUUUUUCCUCUCCCGUGGGACUCCCUUAGCAUUUCAUUUUUUUUUCUUUUUCCGUGGGAAGUUCUUCCCACAAUACCCAAAAGCCUCUCUUUCCUUUUUACUUCGGUGGGAACUCCCUCUCUCCCGAGAUCUUCUUCUCCCGGUCGUCAAUGAAUCCUCCUCUGUUCACCCUGGGGCCUUUUAUAGGCUGCGACUCCCCUCUUCUGUUUCGAAUGUAGAUAAGGAUGAACCCUUUGCCGUUGGGAUGAAGCUUGGCCUGAUUCGUGGACUGCUGUGGUUCGGAUCAAAGGAGAAGACGCGUGAAGCCGGACGCGUCGGAAGAUGAGCUGAGACGUUAGCGAUUUCAUGGGAUCAAACCGGAAGAGAAGCUGGGAUUUGAGUUUAUCCCAUGGAUAUGCAGACGCUGGGAGUAAAACGGAAUGAAGGUGCUUAGAUAUGGCUCGGUUCGAUGUUUGAUUUCCUUUGGCUGGGAAGAAUCCCUCGCUGGUGGACGUGGAAGAAGCCUGGUCGUGGAGAAACAGGGGAUGUUUGGAUGCCGUGAAACUCGCAAGGAUGGAGCUGGAAUCAAAUGGAUGCAGCUGGGAGAUGAGUGGAUCACGGGAGGAUGAACUCGAUUCGGUUGGGAACAGGGGAGAUGUUCCACGGGAUUCGGCAGCUUGGGUGUUGGAUAAAGAUAGAAGUUUGUAUGGCAAGCAUCGCGGGAGGAGCUGUUCCGUGGGAUAUUGGGACUUGAUUCUGAAACAGGGGAAAAACUUGGAUUCGGUUGACAGUUUAGAUGAAGCUUCCGUGAAGCUUGGGAACGGCUGGCCAUGCAUGAAAUAGGGGAGAAGAUCACAUACGGGUCUGUUCCUUGGGAUAUGGGUGCUCUGUUAUGCAUUUGGUUCGGAUUUGUUGAUGAGAAGAAGUCAGAAGAAGAUGGAAUGCUCAUCCGGAAGAUGCUGGGGUGCUGUUCACGGCUUAGAUGAGGUGCCGGAAGAAUCGGGAGGAUGAAGCUGCGGACGUACUCUAUUCGUGGAGGUUUGGAUUUGUUCUUUGGACUGCCGAAGAUGUGGGCGCUUGGAGUUGGGAUCUCGGGAAGAUUAAGCUGGACGUUGGGAGAUGUUCAUCCGUGGAGGGAAUCUAGCUGGAGAAGCUUAGGAGAAUGAAUUUGAAUGGGAUGAAGCUGGGAGUUAAUCGCGGAUGAGAUGAAGGCUGGCUUGGGCUUAUCCGUGGGUGAUGGAAAGCUAGAUUCGGUUGAGAGGGAGUGAUCCGGGAGAAGCUUUGAGUUUCGAACGGAAUGAAUGUGAGAACGAUCCAGAAGAAGGGGAAGUUUGGAUAUGAGAGCUUAUCCUGUACAUAUGGCUCUGUUCCUAAAGAAAUGACGUGGAGGGAAGCGGAAUGGCUGGGAGGAGAUCUGGGAUUAUUCAUGGGAAGUUGAAAUGGAUUGAAGGGGUGAGGCUUUGCAAUCUGUGCAACUAAGAUAGUAUGCUUUGAGAUCUGAGAAACAAUUGAUUGAAGGGAUUGUAUUAUUUUUAAUGUUAAAACAGGAGAAUUGGAAUGAGUGGGACGAAAUUUAGGUGAACUUGGAAAGCACUGGAUUUUGGAGAAGAGUUCUUGGAGUCGACUCAGGAGAAUGUGAAAUUGUGAAAUGAUGUAGUGUCCGUUUAGCCUUUACCUAAUUGAGCUCGACUCGACCUGCAUGCAUUAAGCUUAAUCAAUAAAUAAUCAAAUCAAACUUGAAUUACCUUUAAAAUGCAAUAAUGAAGGUAAUACAUUUUUUUAGUUAAAUUUACAAAAUAUGUGAAUUAAAUUAAUGAUAAGUGCUAUAAAUAAGAUAUUAAUUUAUGCAUUAUUUAGUACUUAUCAGGUAGUUGCAGAGCAAGCACUACGCUUCAAAUUUUUCGCCUCGAACAAUGAGGUGGAGUAUGAGGCGCUUAUUGCCAGGCUGAAGCUGGCAAAGGAGCUGAGGGUCAAGAAUUUGAAGGCGUUCAGCGACUCCCAACUGGUCGUGAACCAGAUCUUGGGAGACUUCGAGGCGAGAGAACCAUCAAUGAAGAGGUAUCUCCAAAAGGUCCGAGACCUCGCCCCCAUACUGGGCUCCUUCGACAUCCAGCAUAUCUCCAGAGCAGAGAAUACGAGAGCAGAUCAAUUGUCAAAACUGGCGACUUCCCGCAUAAGCGAGCUUCCGAAGACCACAGUGCUUGAGUAUCUCCAGGUGCCUAGCACCGAAGAGCCUGAACCAGCUCUCUGCAUCGAGACCGAGCCGAGCUGGAUGGACACGUUCGUCGCUUACCUGCAGAGCGAAGUCCUCCCCAAUGACGAGCUCGAAGCCUGCCGGAUUAAACGUCAGGCUUCCCGAUACCUCCUAUACGAAGGCAAGCUCUACCGCAGAUCGUUCACCUCCUCCCUUCUUAGAUGUCUCCGUCCCUCAGAGGUGGAUUAUGCUAUGUGAGAGGUUUACGAAAGAAUCUGCGGGAACCAUCUAGGAGGUCGGGCCCUGGCCCACAAAAUUUUGCGCCAAGGAUAUUAGUGGCCCGCACUCCAAAAAGAUACAUUGGACUUUGUCCAAAAGUGCGAUCGGUGUCUGCGGAAUGCCAACAUUCAUCGCCAACCCUCGGUUCCACUGACCUCGAUCAGCGCCCCAUAGCCAUUUGCCCAUUGGGGAUCGACAUCUUGGGACCAUUCUCCCUAGCCACCGGACAGAGCAAGUUCCUCAUUGUCUCUGUCGACUACUUCACCAAGUGGGUUGAAGUUUAGCCGGUGGCCCAAAUUUCUGAGCCAAAGAUGUGAGACUUUGUCUGCAAGUCAAUAAUCUCCAGAUUUGAACUUUUCCGUAUCCUCAUAUCCAACAACAGCCGCCAGUUCGACAACGCCCACUUCAGAAAAUUUUGCUCCGAGCUCGGCAUCGACCACCGCUUCACCUCAGUCGCUCAUCCACAGACAAAUGGAGAAAUCGAGGUGACGAACUGCACCAUCCUCCAAGGGCUCAAAGCCAGACUCGACCGAGCCAAAGGGCAAUGGGUCGAGGAUCUCUACAAUGUUCUCCGGGCCUACAGAACUACAUUCCGUCUCCCCACCGGCGAGACCUCCUUUAAUCUGGCCUACGGGACGGAAGCUGUCAUCCCCUUAGAGAUCGGGCUUCCAUCGCUAAGGGUGGAGAACUACGAUGAAGCCUCCAACUCAUCCCGACUCAGAAGUAAUUUGGAUCUCGUUGAGGGGACAAGGGAGGCUGCCCGAGUCCGCAUGGCGAGAUACCAAUGGAAGGCGGUGCAGUACUACAACUCCAAGGUGAAAGUCAAGCUCUUCAAGGUGGGGGAUCUCGUCAUGAGGAAAGCUGAGGCUUCUCAACCUACCGAAUAAGGGAAGCUUGCCCUAAACUGGGAAGGGCCAUACCGAGUUGCUCGAGUCCAGCAUCUUGGAGCAUACAAGUUGGAGUCCCUUGAGGGAACCCCUAUUUUCCAAAGCUGGAACUCCGAAAAUCUCCGGAUAUAUUAUCAGUAGAACCCUAGGGGUCUCCGAUGUUUGAAAAACAUAACUAACAUUUCUCCUCAUGUUAAUUUACUUACAGCUCUUCUUCAAUUAUUCAAUACUUCUCCUGAUGAUAAUCUACUUGUGAACUAUAGGAUGCCCGACUAAGUCCAGAUGCCUGACCAAUUCUGGAUGCCCGACCAAGUUUGGAUGCCCCAACUAAGUCCGGGAUGCUCCAUCGCGACAACUCCGAGUCCAAUCUUCAUCUCCAACAAGACCUCGACCAAGCUCGGGAUGCCCCACCACAUCGACCGCGGGCCCAAGCCCCCUCAACCUCGGGAUGGUCCCCCGACUAAGGUCGGGAUGCCCCGCUGCGUCGACCGUGAGCCAAGUCUCCCUCGACCUCGGGAUGCCCCGCUGCGUCGACCACGGGCCCAAGCCCCCUCGACCUCAGGACGGUCCCCCGACUAAGGUCGGGAUGCCCCGCUACGUCGACCGCGAGCCAAGUCUUCCUUGACCUCGGGAUGCCCCGCUGAGUCGACCGCGGGCCCAAGCCCCCUCGACCUCAGGACGGUCCUCCGACUAAGGUCGGGAUGCUCCGCUGCGUNNNNNNNNNNNNNNNNNNNNNNNNNNNNNNNNNNNNNNNNNNNNNNNNNNNNNNNNNNNNNNNNNNNNNNNNNNNNNNNNNNNNNNNNNNNNNNNNNNNNNNNNNNNNNNNNNNNNNNNNNNNNNNNNNNNNNNNNNNNNNNNNNNNNNNNNNNNNNNNNNNNNNNNNNNNNNNNNNNNNNNNNNNNNNNNNNNNNNNNNNNNNNNNNNNNNNGACCACGAGCCAAGUCUUCCUCAACCUCGGGAUGCCCCACUGAGUCGACCGCGGGCCCAAGCGCCCUCGACCUCGGGAUGGUUCCCCGACUAAGGUCGGGAUGCCCCGCUGCGUCGACCGCGAGCCAAGUCUCCCUCGACGUCGGGAUGCCCCGCUGAGUCGACCGCGGGCCCAAGCCCCCUCGAUCUCGGAAAGCACUGCUGGGCGCUGCUGAGUUGACCGCGAGCUAAGUCUCCCUCGAUCUCGUGGCGACAUCUUCACAACUUUUCGACGACAUUCAGCGCCCCCCGACAACGCACCUCGAGCUGAGUGGAGGCACCUUGCUGAGUCGACCAUGGGUCGCUGAAGCCGACCUCGGAGCAGAGUCCCUUAGCUCGGCUCGGACAACCCGACCCGAGACACUUAGCUCCAACUGCACAAUAGGUAUAUCCUACUCGGUACGAAAAUCUCUCUAUACUUACUUAAUUAUAUUACAGAACGAUCAACGGACGAAGCUCGCCUCCUACAUGUAUCUCCGAUGAAGCCCCGACCAGGCUCGGGAUCCUCCGACCAAGGCCGGGAUGCUCUCCCGAGUAGACUGCGAGCCCAGACUCCCUCGACCUCGCGCACGAUCUUCCGACCGAGUCCGGGAUGUCCCGACCAAGUUCGGAAUGAUCCACACCGCCAAUCUCCAGCUCAAUCUCCACCGACUUCAAAUUUCUCCAAACAAAGGCCUGACCUAGUUCGAGAUGGCCUGCAACAAUGACCUCGAGCUCUGCCCGAUGAUGUCCUAGCCGGGCUUGGGGGUACCCAGUCACACUGACCACGAACUCAAGUUCCGCCCAAUGGCAUCUCGACCAAGUUCGAGAUCAAAAAGAAUGAAAGCUCCGACGGCAGCUCAAUUUUGGCCCACGCUGCCAUUGAGUCCGAGCUCAAAGCUUUAAUAAGGCUCUUCCAGAAGUCGAACCCAAGGACUUGGCGAAAUUUCUCUGGAAGAUGAGCCAAAGGGCUUAGCGGGAUUUCUUCGGAGCCCGAGCUCAAAGACUUGGCGAAUUCCUUGGGAGUGUAAGCCUAAAGUCUUAGCAUAAUUUCUCCGAGACCGAGCCUGAAAGCUUAGUGAGUUCUACCAGGACCUAGGUCUAAAGACUUAGCCGAGCAGCCAAGAUAAAAGUUUAUCAAUUAUGCAAAUGGAAACAAACACAAACACACAGCAGAAUUUGGAAAGAAGAUAUUUCAUUGAUAAAAGCCCGAAGGCUAAGUACAAGAUUAGGCCGCAGAGGCCGAAAGCUAAGCACAAAAUUAGGCCAUAGAGGCCAACCUCAUUUACAAAAAAAAGAAGAAGGGAAGAAGCCAAGUCCUAGGGAAUUUCGAGGGCGGUAGUGGCCUCGGCGUCAGCCUCAAGGUCGUCCAUGACGAUCACGUUCUUUGAGGGAGCCACCCCGGGGUCCUCCGCUGGCCCAUGUCCGUGAGGAUCUGCAACCUCCUUGGACGGGGCCUCGCCAACGGCCUCAAAAACAGCCUCGGCCACUUCUUCAGGGGCGUCCUUGGUAACUUCUCCGGGGAGAACUUCCCUAGUUGUCGGAUCGGUCACCUCGGCCUUGGCCUCGAUGGUCUCCCGUUCGGCCUCGGGGCUUGCAGGCAUGCUGCUGGUUGUGCCGCCGUCCGCCAAAUCCUCGGGCUCGCCCUCGUCCUUGGUGAUCCCCAUGCCGGGCUGUUGCCCAAGGUGACAAGCCAAGAGAGGGGGGGGGGGUGAAUUGUUUUUUCUAAAUUUUUCGAUCCCUUAAUUAAAUCAAUUGAUGAGUGAGUGGUUUAGUUAAUAUUAAUUGAGUGUCUGUAGUGAAGUUAGAACAAUACACAAUACAAAGAUACAACAAGUAUAGUGGUUCGGUGCUCUCCUAAGCACCUACGUCCACUCUCCAAGUGUCCUCUUGGAAAUUCACUAUAAUCCCGCGGAUUACAGUUGGAUUGUUUUUCGAGCUCACAAUCCAAAAACCUUUACACUUUGGUUUUCCGGGAUCACCAAAAAUCUAUGUUGGUUUUGCGGGCUCACCAACAACCUACACCGUUGGUUUUACGGGCUCACCAACAAACCUUACAAAGUAAUUAAGAAGAAAGAGUUUGAAACUCCAAGAAGAGCAAAUAUAACAAUUUUACACUAAUAGAAGAGAUGAGAAAAUAGUUAUCGCUUUGAGGAUGCUCUUCUUUUCUUUGCCAAGGUUACUUCACUUCACAAUGGUUUGGUGGAGCUGUUGAAUGCACACUAAGAUUGCUCAACCACCUCCUUUUUGAGACUUAAAUGGAGAACCUUGAUGAAGGAUGCUAGGGCUUGCUUUGACUUGAAUGAACUAUUGAUUUCUUCGCAAAAGAUCCUUCCUCUGAUGAAUAGUGUCACUUUAAAUACUUGCCCACCUCCAUUGGUCACUCCCCAUUGGUUAGAUUUGAAAAACUAGCCGUUACUAGCCAUUAGGAGGUCAAAAAGUACUUCUGCAGAACUAGCCGUUAUGCCCUUGCCCGUGCUGGGAUCGACCCAAACUUUUCUGGGGUCGACUCAACUUACUGUUCAUUAGACUUGGGGUCGACCCAACUCACCCUCUACAGUGGGGUCGGCCUUCUCAGGAACCACAGAACCUUGCAUUUUCGGCUAUUUUUACUGGGGUCGACUCAACCUUUCUUGGGGUCGACACAUGCUACAGUGGGGUCGACUCAAGCUCCAUUGGGGUCAACCCUCUCAGUGAUUACAGAGACGUAGUUUUUGAGCACAUAUUCUUGGGGUCGGCUCCAUUGGGGUCGGCUCAAGUAUUCUUGGGGUCAGCUCUGUUGGAAAUUAUAUCCUAAAUGUCAAUCGUCAGCAUGUUGAUGAUUGAAUUUUGUAAAUGAAUUGAUAAAUUAAUAAAAUGUUAUUUGGCAUUAUUUAUCAUUUCAUUGUACAUCUUCAAAUGAACUUUUAUAUGAUGAAGUCCUUAGGACUUAUUUUAUGAUAAAGGAGGAUUUAUCUUCAAGUCCUUAAAACUGUUCGCGAUCAAAUGAUAUGCUGUUACUAGGACGACAGCAUUAUCGAGAUUAGGUCGUUGUGUGACAUAUAUGUUGGUUGUUCUCUUAACCAAGGAGUGUGGAGACACUAAUAUGUCACACAGAUGAAGUGUAGGAGUACAUUUCACUGAACGCGACCAAUUAUGGAAUGCUCUACUGUCAAAAGAUGUUCCGAGCGGAUAUGGGUAUAAGUUUGGCCCUCUAACCUGAGACCACAACCUGUGACUAGCAAGCAACUCACUGUACUUUGGUACCGGACUACCUGAAUUUCUAAUUCACUGACGGAAGGUCACUGGGUACAGUCAAGUACUUGCAUAGUCAGUUGUGAGUCAAGAUGGAAUUGACCCCUCCUGAAAAUAGGAGAUAAUGCCUUGUGUUCAAUUUAGCAAAAUCUUGGCCAGGAUAAUCCUUGUGAGAAGUCACAGGAUUUCUAAAGUUGAAUCACAUCAUGGAUGCACUUAUUACAGAGUUGACAGAACUCUGAAAUCAUCCUGAUAUUUAGGAGUCAUAGGGAUAAAUUAUACGGUAACCAUAGUCCAAGGGUUCUUGAAUGUUGCUUUGCAAUCAUUCGGCCUAUCCGGACGUCGGGUACCAUUGCUAGAUGGUCAUUUCGAUUAGUACAAGAAGUUGUUCUGGUGCUACUAGCUUAGGUUCGAAACUAUAGGGUCACACGCAUAGAAAUUUCUAGGUUGAUCAAAUGGCUGAUUGAUGAUUAAAAAUCAUUCAGGGGUAAUUUGGUCAAUUCGAUUGACAAAUUAUCCUAAGCAAAAGUUGCAUUAAAAUAAUUAUUAAAUUAUUAGAGGAUUAAUUAGUAAUUGGAUUACUAAUAAAUUCAAUUUGAUUGAAUUAUUGGACUUUAAUUAAGCCAAAUUGAAUUUAGAUUCAAUUUGGGCUAAAUUAGGGUUUGACCUAAUUCGAUCGGGUUCAACCCGAGCCGAUUGGGCAUAACCUAAUUGAUCGGACUUGACCCAAUUAGAUUGAGAUUGACUCAAGUCAAUUAAGAGUUCUUAUUUGAUGAGGAUUAAGUAUCCAAAUAAUUAGAAUUUAUUAUGAAAAAUAAUUUCUAAAAUUUAGGACCCUAGCUUUCUUUCUUGGAGAAGAAAGAUACCUCAUCCUUAUCCCUAAAAGCAGUGGUGCCUAUCCUCUUUAUUUUUGGCCAAUUUUUGGUGUGAGGAAAGAGGAGGCGUGGGGAUAUUUUUAAGAAAAAUAUGGUGCCUCAAAUCUUUCUAAAAGGAUAGGAAUCAAAUCCCUAAUUUGUAGGGACUGCAUGAUGCAUCAAGUAGGGUGGCGUACCGCUGAAGCUUGGGGUGCAAUAACCCCCUAAUUUUUAGGGAUUCUUGGCACAAGAUUAAAACAGAAUUUGUUCAUCUCUUAUCUGCUGAUUCACAAAAAUUUUUUGGAAAUUUUAUCAGCCAAAUUUAUUGGCCAAAAGAGGUGUGAGGCAUGGGGGGUCUUUUGGCUAUAAAAGGACUCCCACACCUAGGGUUUGUUGAGAUGGUCUUUAGAAAAGGUUCUAAAUUCUGAAAAAAUUAUGAGAGCCAGCCAUCUUCUCUCUCCUUCUUCUCCUACAUCUCCAUCCUUCAUCCUCUUGAAGAAGAAUCAAAAGUUGAGUGCUUCAAGGGAGAAAAGUUUAGCCACUGCAGCACCUCUGCAUGAGCUAGCACUCCUGCAGUUGUGGAUCUUCCUAGAGCUUCGCAUGGACUAUCCGUAGAGGCCGGACACGUGUGCGGCUAUACAAGGUGAUCAAGACAUCAUCAAAGUUCUCAAAGCAAAAAGGUAUGAGAUCUGAUCUCAUUAAAAAUUAAAAUUAGAAAUCAACUAGGUUGCUGAAAUUUUGUAUGACUACAUGUUAGACAUAGAAUCAUGCCUACUUGUUUAGGAUAAAUGUUUAAAGUACUGGAUCUAUUUUUGUUGUAGAGAUAUGAUCUCUAGCAUGCAUAGGAAUUAAAUAGUUUAAUUCAUGCUUUCGCUGUAAAAUUUUUAAAAAAUAUAUGUAUGCGACCACCAGGGUUUCCAACAGUGGUAUCAGAGCAAGGUUCAAAGUAGUUUAAACAUUUAUGCCUAAAACAAGUUUUCUAAUCCUAGUAGUCAAUUAAUCUGAUUGGAAUGAUCACCAGGCCGUCCGGUUAUAAGAGAAAGAAGGGUUCAUAACCCUCUUUUGCCAUUCAAUGGGAUCUGUUAUGGCAUGUAGGGGUGCCACUGUGAUUCAAUCCUUGAAGAUGAACCACAAAAAGAAGAUUAAAAGUAGUUUUAAUCUUUGUAAUUAAAUCUAAAAUCAUGGAUUUGUUUAGAUCAGAUUUAAAAGAGAUUUAUGAUUGAUUUAGUUGCUAUUUUUACAUGAUUAAUUAGAUCUGAAAAUUAGAAUGCAUGUGAUGCAUGAGAUCUAAGUAAAUUCAUGUUGAUGUAUAUGUGAUAUAAAGAACAUGAAUAAAUCUAAAAUCAUAAACUUGUUUAGAUUAGAUCUAAAUAAAAUUUAUAAUUCAUUUAUUUUCUGAUUUUGUAUGACAAAUCAAAUCUGAAAACAAAUGCAUCUGAUGUAUGCUGUUUAAGUUAAUUCAUAUGAGUUUGUAUAUGUGAUAUAUGGACAUAAAUCAUCUAAGAUUUAAACAUGAAUUAAAUCUGAAUUUUAACAUGAUUAAUUACAAAUCUCAGAUCUGAAAAAUAAGUUUUAAGAACUGAAACUUUGUAGUUAGUAUGUAAUUAAUAAUAGUACAAUGAUCUGAAUUUUCAUAAACUUACACUUAAUUAAGAAUUAAGUGAUGAUGAAAACCUAGAUCUAGAAUUGUGAACUCAAUUAAAUGACAUUGCAUAAUUUAUGGGGCAUUUGGGUUAGCUCAAAUCAAGUUCUUAAGAUUGGGUUAGACCUAGGGUUAGAAUCCAACAUGGUCCAAUUAGAGUUAAUUGAUCAAAUCUAAUUAAGUAGUAACUAGAUUAGGUAAAGAAAACUCUAGGUCAAAUACAAUAGUUGUAGAUUGAUCAAUUCGGAUCUUUGAUCAGACCAAGAUGGAACUUGAUUUAGGCUCCGUGGUUGAGCUCGAGUCAUUAGGAUGGUCAAAAUCAAAAUUGAUUAACCAAUCGGUGUCUAAGGUAGGUUUGGCAGACUCGACCAGUGGUUUUUAAUUGGAAGCUACUCGCACUGAUGCGUCUUUGUCGAGUUAAUGGCAUAUCCCUUCCACCGAUCUCACUUACCUGGCCGAUUUGGUCAAUCAUUUUUUAUUGGAUCAUUUAAUUAUUCGAGUUAACCCAUGCCUGUAAGAAAAAUCAGUUUGACUGAUUUAGGUGCCUUCUUAACUGGUUUGAAUCUAAUUCUUUAUAAUCUGACUUGGUGAAGUCAGUGGAAGAAUUUAGGUUAACCGGAUCUUCUUAUCUAUCCUAAUUUAAUCCUCUAAAAUUAUUAGGUCCUUAAAAUGAAAUAGUUAUGGGGAUAACUAGGUCAUAGCCUCCCAUUAAGUUAGAUGAUAAUGAGUCCAAUAUUUCGAUAAUCAUUGGAGGCGCCACACGUCUGGUGCUUAUCGGGUAUUGAAAUUGUUAUUUGAUAUAUGAUGAGUCGAGUGUACCUUCAAUAGGUGGUCAGGUGGGCCGAGCCACACUCGGGCUUGGUCAUCUAUUAGUUGAUUACAUGGAACCCUAUCAUUUAAUGGUUGGACCUAACCAGAAUCUUUGGUGGAGGAGCCACAUGCCUGCUAAAGAGAGUGGGGCAAAAAUUAUCACUAGAAAUUGUUUGGUGAAACAAUUGGUUCAGAACCUACUAAUAGGUGCAUAUGGGUUGGCCGAGCCACACUCGGGCCCAUAUGCGAUCAAUUGGGUUCUAGUACUCACUAAAGAUUUAAGUGUAAUUUUUCGAAUUUGAGGUAGAGGCUACAAAUUUGUAUAAAAUAGUGGGAGGACCUUUAGACUAAAGUCCAAGUCUUUAGGAUAUUGUCAAUUCAUAUACUGAUAGCCGAUUUUCUUUUUAUGCAGAAAUGGCCACUAGUUUGUUACUUCGUUCAUUGUUGGAUAAUGACAAGUUGACUGGACCCAAUUUCAACAACUGGCUUAGAAAACUUAAAAUUGUGCUAGAGCAUGAACGGAUCCUUUAUGUGAUAACGGAUCCAGCACCUGAGCAGCCUGCUGCUAAUGCACAGGAUACGGUCAGAGAAACUUAUCAAAAGUGGCUUAGUGACCGUAUCACUAUCCGAUGCAUUAUGCUUGCUGCAAUGAGCAACGAGUUCAGUCACCGGUUCGAGAACGCCCAGCCCGAAGAAAUCGUUCAAGUGUUGAAUGAAUCUUUUGGCACUCCCGACGACGUUGAAAGGCACAAGACUAGUUGUGCUAUUUUUAGCGCACGGAUGAAGGAUGGGGCAUCGGUAACUGAUCAUGUAUUGUACAUGAUUGAGUUGAUUGAGCGCCUGAGCACUCUCGGUUUUUCCCUUCAUGAUCAAUUUGGGAAAGAUGCUAUACUGAACUUUCUUCCUGGUUCAUACCGCCCAUUUCUCACCAACUUUCUUAUGACAAAACCGGUAGUAAAUUAUCACCAAUUGUUGGGUUUGCUACAAACUUUUGAGAAGGAUCACCAACUCCUAAAAGGGUCGGUGAAUUUAGUGGGAGGUUCGUCCAAGGGUCAUGGUCCCUUUAAGAAAGGGAAGAAGAAAAAUAGAAAUCAAAAGAAAAAGGUGCAUCGUGCUGAGCAAAGUCAGACUAAGAAGAAGAAGACUGAUCAGAGUAAGGUAGAGUGCUUCUACUGUAAGAAGCAAGGGCAUUGGAAGAGGAACUGUCCUCAGUACAUUGUCUCUCUUGACCCGAACAGGCCAAAGAAAAAGAUGCAAUCAGUUACAGAUCAAGGUACUUAUAUGACAACACCUUAUAUUUUCUCAAUAUGUGAUAAUUCGACCUGGGUAUUGGAUACCGAAAGUCCUUUUAAUAUUUGUAAUUCGUUGCAGGGACUACAGGUCAGUGAGAGAUUUGAAGAAAGCGAAAGGUUCCUAAAUAUUGGAGAUGGAAGAUCAGUUCCAGUUCCAGCUUUAGGGAUUCUGAAAUUUGUAUUCAAUUCUCAAAUAAUAGUCUUAAGUGACUGUCACUUUUGUCCUUCUUUUCUAUUGAAUGUAAUUUCUAUAAGCCUUCUGGCCAUUAACGGUUAUGAGAUUUCAAUAAAAAGAAAUUACUGUGAUAUCAUUAUGAAUGGUGUUACUGUAAUACAUGGACAAUUGAGUAAUGGGAUUUACAUAUUAUCACAGCCUGUUCAUGUAAUGUACAAGUCCAAUAAGCGCCCUAGAAUGGAUAAUGUCACGGAUGUCUACCUUUGGCAUCAUAGGUGAUGGAUUAGCAAAAAUGCUUUCGCGAAACUAAUCUUCCAAGUGCAGGAGAAUCGCACAAGUAGUAUAACUCGAAAGUCCGAGGUCGAUUCCUCAGAGAACGAUCUAUGGAUUUUUAGCGUAAUUUUUAGAUAUAAUUUUUAGUUAAUUUUCAGAAAUUAAAAGUAGAGAAUAGUAGAUCAAUAUACAAAGCGCAAUGAAAUAGAAAUGGUUAGGGAUCCGGAAUCCCCUUUGAUGAUAUUAUUUUCAACAAUUAAAUUCUGCGAUUCUUGAUUAAGGAUCAAUCAGAUAGAAUAGUUCUAAUCAUGGAGUAUAUAAUUUGAAAACAUGAAUUCAAGAUCUAAGUAUUUAUCGUGCCGAGUACGUCUACGACAAAUCAAACAUCGAAAUAAUGCAUGAAUCAAGAAAUAUAAACCAUAAAAGAUCUAUCUCAUAGAUAAGCAUGCAAGAAUCAAAAACAUAUUAAUAGAUGUAAAUCAAAGAGAUCAAUCGUUCAGAAUUUACUUGAAAGAAAAUAAGACAUCAAAGGUUCCUCCAUCACCCUUCACCAAAGAAAUCAGCCCUCCAUUAAAAACAUUAACUUCUUUUCUCUCUUUUUUUUUCGGGAAACAGGGCAUCCCCUGUUUCCCUUUCUCUUCCCUCCUCUGUUUUUCUUCUUUGUUUUCGAAUGGGAAUCAAUGGCCGUUCCCCCUCCAGCCGAGGGAUAUAUCAAGCUAGUGUCUCACCCCCUUCCUCGCACGUGGUGGAGACCAUCUCAGAACGCGGAGCGGACGCUGAUCGAUGGUGCUUGGACGCGCAUGGACGGCUGCGGAUGCUCGCGAACGGCUAGAUUUGUGCGUGGAUUUGGAAGAAUCGGACGCGGAAGAGCUGAGCAGCAAGGCUUGGACGUGUGAUGAGAUUCUGAUUGCUGCGAAUCCAGAAGAGGUUGACGGCUGCUGAUCACGGAUGCUGGAAUCACGGACUCGGUUAGGAUGCGUGGUAGCUGAACCAUGGAUGGCUCGUGGGAGAAGCAGACUCAGACAGACGCUGGGGUGGAGAUGCUCUCGAACGGAAGGAGGAUUGGAACCGAAAUGCAGACUCGGAAGGCUGAGACAUAUUGGAUGCUGAAAUCGCUGGGGAAUCCAACGCUGGCUCACGGGAGAUUCACAUGUGGAUGGAUCAAAGCGGAAAAGGGGAGGCUCGUGGAUGCUCGGUGGAAGCUGGGAACUCGGGAGAGCUGAGCCUUGAACGCGAGAUCCUGAGUUUGUGCACGGGAGCUAGGAUGCACGAGAUGCUUGGAGACUUCACGGGAGGAUGAGAUGGAUGCACUGGAAAGUGAACGGUGAAGAUGAUGAGUUGCACGUGGCUCCAUCGGGCUGAGAUGCACGGGCUGCUGGGAAUUGGUUGCAGUGAACUGGCUGGCUGAACUUAGACNNNNNNNNNNNNNNNNNNNNGGAUGCACGAGAUGCUUGGAGACUUCACGGGAGGAUGAGAUGGAUGCACUGGAAAGUGAACGGUGAAGAUGAUGAGUUGCACGUGGCUCCAUCGGGCUGAGAUGCACGGGCUGCUGGGAAUUGGUUGCAGUGAACUGGCUGGCUGAACUUAGACUCCUUCUAGUGUGCAACUGGGGUUGAACCAUGCAGUUGACUGGUCACCUGCGGUGAUGCAUCUGUUUGGACCCAAUGCGCAUUUUAGCUUUGAUUUAUGAUCACCUGCACCCCACAAAAAUAUAAUAUUAAUGCAGCAUUUUUAUCAUUAUUUGUUAGCAAUAAUACUAAUUUAAGUGAUGUAUAGAUCACACUUUUAUGCUCUCAUCAGACCUCCCAACUAGCUUAUUGCUAGUCUCUAGCAAUUAACGAGCAAAUAAUAAAAUGAGAGUGCAAAAGGUGUGGUUUAACCUAUGACUUUUUAUUGAAGCUAAAGACAUAAAACUAAGAUAUGUACUCACUUUCGUAGGAAUCACGAUUGCACUUAGCACGUGCAACAAGCCGUUUAACCCCUAGAUUACCCUAGUGGACGAGUGUUGUCUUGUGAGGGUUUUCAGGGAUGUUACCCACAGACAUCAUGAAUUAUAUGACAUAAGAUUCUAAUAAAAAUAUGAAAUAAAUCUUAAGCUAAUACACAUGUAAAUAAUUGAUAUAUAUUUUCAAGCAUGGCAACUGUCAAAGCAAGAAAAUAUAAAAGUGUAAUGUGCAUCAAAUCGCAUGACUUUCUCAGAGUACUAAUACCUCCACCACAAUAGAGCACCGCCUGAGUUUUAGGUGCACUACUCAAAUCCACAAGUAUUUUCUACAAUUUAUUAGAACCUGAUCCAUCAAAUUUUCAGAAUAUCACAUGUUGUCUAAAUUUGUCAAGGAUGGUUCGCAUGUAAAGAAAGAGCUAUCAAUCCCAACUAAACAACCCGGGUACACAGAGGUCCAACACAAUGGAGUCAAACCAGUCAUUACCACAUGUCACUAGGUUCAAUCCGACCAACCCUAUUCAUGCUUAUUUUUAUUUUUAAACACAUAUGACGAUUACAAUAGUCCAAUCCCAUUAGGCUCUAGUAAGGUCCAUAUAGCGAGCUUUCAGCCAAUGACUCUCGAUCCAGUUGGCUCAAGACAUUAGGUGAAAUACCCCUCGGACUUAAUUACUCAAACCAGACUAUGCCACGAGGCCAGACUUGUCAUCAUAAGGAUUUUUUUAAAAAAAAUUAUACAAGAAAAGAAAAGGUAGACUGAACCAUAUAGGUAUUUUUUUUAUUAUAUAUGUGACUGCAUCGUGACUAUAGGUCAACCAAGGUCAGAUCAUAAGGCACCUAAGUAAUCUAACUGGGAUAUUCAACCUCUAUCUUUAUGUGAAAACCAAAUCAUGAACCUUAUGGUACGAAUAAGGAUACUCGNNNNNNNNNNNNNNNNNNNNNNNNNNNNNNNNNNNNNNNNNNNNNNNNNNNNNNNNNNNNNNNNNNNNNNNNNNNNNNNNNNNNNNNNNNNNNNNNNNNNNNNNNNNNNNNNNNNNNNNNNNNNNNNNNNNNNNNNNNNNNNNNNNNNNNNNNNNNNNNNNNNNNNNNNNNNNNNNNNNNNNNNNNNNNNNNNNNNNNNNNNNNNNNNNNNNNNNNNNNNNNNNNNNNNNNNNNNNNNNNNNNNNNNNNNNNNNNNNNNNNNNNNNNNNNNNNNNNNNNNNNNNNNNNNNNNNNNNNNNNNNNNNNNNNNNNNNNNNNNNNNNNNNNNNNNNNNNNNNNNNNNNNNNNNNNNNNNNNNNNNNNNNNNNNNNNNNNNNNNNNNNNNNNNNNNNNNNNNNNNNNNNNNNNNNNNNNNNNNNNNNNNNNNNNNNNNNNNNNNACAUACCUUUGUCGUCAAGCUCAGUCAUAAGAAGGCUCCUCCAAGGAAAAGGAGUCCUCUUCAUCUGCAAAAUUCUCAAGAAAAGGUUUUAGUCUGUGUCCAUUCAUCUUAAAAAUUUUACCAUCCUGUGGAUUCUCAAUUUCAACUGCCCCGUGUGAAAAAACAGUUUUUACAAUGAAAGGACCUGUCCAUCUUGAUCGUAACUUUCCAGAAAAUAGAUGUAAACGAGAGUCAUAACAAAGAACUUUUUGCGCAGGUUCAAAAAAUUUUCUUAGAAUUGAUUUAUCAUGCCUAAUUUUUAUUCGUUCUUUACAAAGUCUAGCAUUGUCAUACGCAUCCCGACGAAUUUCAUUCAACUCACCUAGUUGUAAUUUUCUAGCUAAACCACAUCUGACAAUUCAAAGUUUAAUUUUCUAAUGGCCCAAUACGAUUUAUGCUCUAUUUCAACAAGUAGAUGACAUGCUUUUCCAUAGACUAGCCGAUACGGGGACAUACCAAGAAUAGUUUUAUAAGCGGUACGAUAAGCCCACAAUGCAUCAGAAAGUUUUAAAGACCAAGUCUUUGCGUGAUGGAUUCACCGUUUUCUCUAAAAUUUGUUUAAUCUUCCGAUUGGCUAACUCUACUUGGCCACUAGUCUGGGGGUGAUAAGGGGUUGCAAUUCUAUGGGUGAUACCGUACUUUCGUAACAGGAUCUCAAAGGGUUUAUUACAAAAUUAUUUUUUUCCAUCACUAAUUAUAACCUUGGGCAUCCCAAACCUAGAAAAUAUGUUUCUUUUAAGAAAUUUUAAAACUGGUUUGUGGUUACCCAUUUGGACACAUACUCAACACCAACUAAAAUGUACUCAUAUCCGAAAGAUGGCGGAAACAGACCUAUGAAAUCAAUGCCCCACAUGUCAAAAAUUUCAAUAGCAGUAAUGGGCUGAAGAGGCAUCAUUUGCCUACGAGUUAGACUCCCAAUA
This 17016-nucleotide long non-coding RNA is filed under the name Phoenix dactylifera (date palm). RNAcentral's name for it is "long non-coding RNA (PDAC_LNC007731)". The record is from RNAcentral. Lineage: Eukaryota; Viridiplantae; Streptophyta; Magnoliopsida; Arecales; Arecaceae.